Molecule: microRNA precursor, 149 nt
Filed under: Prunus dulcis (almond)
Lineage: Eukaryota; Viridiplantae; Streptophyta; Magnoliopsida; Rosales; Rosaceae
Description: sRNA ncRNA
Source: RNAcentral
UUGAGGGGUUUAGAGGGAGGGAGGAGAGAGAAAGAGAGAGAGGAGUUAUUGACAGAGACAAGAGGGCUUGGGGAUUUUCAAGGUUUUAGGAAGAGCUUUACCUUACUCUUCUCACUUUCUUUUUCUUUUCUUUUAUUUUUUAUUUUUCU